Molecule: non-coding RNA, 839 nt
Organism: Oncorhynchus mykiss (rainbow trout)
Lineage: Eukaryota; Metazoa; Chordata; Actinopteri; Salmoniformes; Salmonidae
Source: RefSeq, a predicted model, not a curated record
UAGGGUUUGGGAUGAUGAUGGUGAUUCAGUGUCUCUCUGUCAGUGACACACACACUGGACACAACAACUAAAGCUCUAAACUAACUUUUUAUUGACAGAUGCCUCAUUUAAUGUUCUGGAUUUUGAUGAAAGGAAAUCCCAUAAAGCCUACUGGCCAGGACUUUGUUAUGGCAUCUUCUGAUUGGGUGUCUCAGGUCAGGACUUUGUUAUGACAUCUUCUGAUUGGGUGUCUCAGGUCAGGACUUUGUUAUGACAUCUUCUGAUUGGGUGUCUCAGGUCAGGACUUUGUUACGGCAUCUUCUGAUUGGGUGUCUCAGGUCAGGACUUUGUUAUGACAUCUUCUGAUUGGGUGUCUCAGGUCAGGUCUGAGCCAUGAUCAGAAUGUGUCUGUCUAUUUCCAGCCUUGCCAUUUCUACCUGUCCUGAUCUAGUGUUUGACCCCUGACCUCCACACAACGUCUCACUGUCCAUGUCUGCUUUUAGCUCCCACCUCUACUUCACUGUGUUAUAAUGGACCUUAUGCUUGUUAUGUCACUUCUGUAACCAGGUAUCAAACAUACUGACCUUUCUGACCCUGUCCCAUGGCCCUACUUCACUGUGUUAUAAUGGACCUUAUGCUUGUUAUGUCACCUCUGUAACAAGGUAUCAAACAUACUGACCUUUCUGACCCUGUCCCAUGGCCCUACUUUCUAGAACUGAACAUUUAAAUCCUCUAAGUUUUGUUUAGUCUCCAUUUAUUAAUUUAUUGAUGUAUUGUUGUAUAUUGGGGUUGUGCCACAGAGCAUCAUGGGGGUUUGUAUGUGUUGAGAUUAUCACGUUCCAGAUAAAUGGUUGAACUGA